UACGUAGGUGGCAAGCGUUGUCCGGAUUUACUGGGCGUAAAGAGCGCGCAGGCGGUCGAAUCAGUCGAAUGUGAAAGCCCCCGGCUCAACUGGGGAGGGUCAUUCGAUACUGUCCGACUCGAAGGCAGGAGAGGGAAGCGGAAUUCCCGGUGUAGUGGUGAAAUGCGUAGAUAUCGGGAGGAACACCAGUGGCGAAGGCGGCUUUCUGGCCUGUUCUUGACGCUGAGGCGCGAAAGCUAGGGGAGCGAACGGG
This 253-nucleotide ribosomal RNA is filed under the name uncultured bacterium. Its description in RNAcentral is "partial 16S ribosomal RNA". It matches the Rfam family "Bacterial small subunit ribosomal RNA", at positions 524 to 776 of the family's 1533-position model. The record is from RNAcentral. RNAcentral also lists the same sequence under 1 other name.